GGGGAAUAUUGCACAAUGGGGGAAACCCUGAUGCAGCAACGCCGCGUGAGCGACGAAGGCCUUCGGGUUGUAAAGCUCUGUCUUCGCUGAAGAAACCUGACGGUAAGCGAGGAGGAAGCCACGGCUAACUACGUGCCAGCAGCCGCGGUAAUACGUAGGUGGCGAGCGUUGUCCGGAAUUAUUGGGCGUAAAGGAUGCGUAGGUGGUAGUUUAAGUGGGAUGUGAAAUCCCUGGGCUUAACCCAGGAACUGCAUUCCAAACUGGACUACUAGAGUGCAGGAGAGGAAAGUGGAAUUCCUAGUGUAGCGGUGAAAUGCGUAGAGAUUAGGAGGAACACCAGUGGCGAAGGCGACUUUCUGGACUGUAACUGACACUGAGGCAUGAAAGCGUGGGGAGCAAAC
This 401-nucleotide ribosomal RNA is filed under the name uncultured bacterium. RNAcentral's name for it is "bacterial SSU rRNA". It matches the Rfam family "Bacterial small subunit ribosomal RNA", at positions 356 to 773 of the family's 1533-position model. The record is from RNAcentral.